RNA transcript from Lagenorhynchus albirostris (white-beaked dolphin), 6116 nucleotides. It is a transcript of the gene named Wnt family member 7B, with no coding region annotated. The transcript is spliced from 8 exons. The record is from RefSeq and is a predicted model, not a curated record. NCBI's taxonomy places the organism in Eukaryota, Metazoa, Chordata, Mammalia, Artiodactyla, Delphinidae.
ACACAUUGGCCGCCGCAGCCCUCGGCGAGGCGCGCACGGCCCCAGGCGCCUGCGCCCAGUGGAGGCAGCGCCCGCCCGCCGCGCUCGGGCCUCGGCCCCGCCGGCCCUCGUGGGGCCCCGCGGUCACACAGUCCGGCUCCGAAGUUGCGGCCCCCGGCCCAGGUCACUCCCCCAGGCGCACGCGGCGGCGGCGGCCCGGGCUCACCAUGGUGGCAGCGCGCUCCGAGUGCCCGCGCGUCGCCGGCCGCCGGAGCCGCAGCGCCGGCUGAGAGCUGUCCACCGAAGCCCCCAACUCCUGCCCGUUCCUCGCCCGGCCCGCGCGUCCCCUCCGCCCGCCGCUGUCUAUGGCGCAGCCCCCCUCCCUGGAUCAUGCACAGAAACUUUCGCAAGUGGAUUUUCUACGUGUUUCUCUGCUUUGGCGUUCUCUACGUGAAGCUCGGAGCGCUGUCAUCCGUCGUGGCCCUGGGAGCCAACAUCAUCUGCAACAAGAUUCCUGGCUUGGCCCCGCGGCAGCGUGCCAUCUGCCAGAGCCGGCCCGAUGCCAUCAUCGUGAUUGGGGAGGGGGCGCAGAUGGGCAUCAACGAGUGCCAGUACCAGUUCCGCUUCGGACGCUGGAACUGCUCCGCCCUCGGCGAGAAGACUGUCUUCGGGCAAGAGCUCCGAGUAGGGAGCCGGGAGGCCGCCUUCACGUACGCCAUCACCGCCGCCGGCGUGGCUCACGCCGUCACCGCCGCCUGCAGCCAGGGCAACCUGAGCAACUGCGGCUGCGACCGCGAGAAGCAGGGCUACUACAACCAGGCCGAGGGCUGGAAGUGGGGCGGCUGCUCCGCCGACGUGCGCUACGGCAUCGACUUCUCCCGGCGCUUCGUGGACGCCCGCGAGAUCAAGAAAAACGCCAGGCGCCUCAUGAACCUGCACAACAAUGAGGCGGGCAGGAAGGUCCUGGAGGAGCGCAUGAAGCUGGAGUGCAAGUGCCACGGCGUGUCGGGCUCGUGCACCACCAAGACGUGCUGGACCACGCUGCCCAAGUUCCGCGAGGUGGGCCACCUGCUCAAGGAGAAGUACAACGUGGCGGUGCAGGUGGAGGUGGUGCGGGCCAGCCGCCUGCGGCAGCCCACCUUCCUGCGCAUCAAACAGCUGCGCAGCUACCAGAAGCCCAUGGAGACGGACCUGGUGUACAUCGAGAAGUCGCCCAACUACUGCGAGGAGGACGCGGCCACGGGCAGCGUGGGCACCCAGGGCCGUCUGUGCAACCGCACGUCGCCCGGCGCCGACGGCUGCGACACCAUGUGCUGCGGCCGAGGCUACAACACCCACCAGUACACCAAGGUCUGGCAGUGCAACUGCAAGUUCCACUGGUGCUGCUUCGUCAAGUGCAACACGUGCAGCGAGCGCACCGAGGUCUUCACCUGCAAGAAAAAGGAGCACGGAAGAGGAUGAGAUUGAUGACGAUUUUCCUGAUGGACAGACCCGCUGGGCCGCACGGCUUCAGGAACGGACGUGACCGUCACGUCUCCCACGGAUGGGGCUCCUGGUACAGCCACCAUAUCAACAACCCAAUGGAAGUAGCACUGGAGUCCAAGGCAGCAAAGGCAAUCUAGUCUUCUUCCGAAACCGGAGGAUUUCACGACGUGCCGCUUCACGCUCUUCUUGGGCAGAUACUAAAGAUGUGCGCUACAUCUCUACCCUAAACAAGCACAGCAUUUUGGGAAAGACAGCUUCUAACGUUUCCAUGGCGACUCCAAACAGAAGGCGUGAGCCUGUUUGUUACAAAACUGCCUUCAAAGAACCCUGCGAUCAGCACUACGGUGAGGACUCGACAGUCCAGCCGGCUCUUCAUCAGAACACGUGGUGUCUGAAGGAGCCACAGAGACGAGCGUGGGACUGAGCACCUGGAAACCACAGGGCCUGGAUAUUUUUAAAAAUUAUUUUUAGACAACAAACCCGUUUAUGGCAAGGAGUUUAUGUACUGGCAAACUUUCCAAAGCACACUACUUAGCAGGCCACAGAACAGACGUCAGAAGCCUUUGAUGAAGUUGGUCUGAGAACAGGACGCCCCAUAACAGGCAGGACCAUGUCAUUAGGCUUCCACGAAACCAUGUCCUCUUCUGCCACAUCAUGACAAGACCUCCCUCAAGGUGAGGAUGCUUAAUAAACAGCUUCCACAUCUAAACUAGUACCUUCUCAGACUAUGGUAAAACUGCGUAAUUUUUCAGACUGCAAAGCAGUAGUUGGGUUUGAAAAUGUUCUGGAAAUGCUUUACGUUGCUGAGAACCAAACACUUCAAAAUCUGGCAAUUUCUGUCAGCCGAAGGAAAGAAAGGGCACGGAACGUGACACCGACAGGAUGACUUCGCCUCCUGCUGAGAUAACCAGCUCUGCUUCCCUCCCAGCCACGCGAGUCGGAGAGACUGUGCACCUCGGGGGCCACGCUCCCGGUGGGCCCAGGUCUCCGACCCCGACCCCGUCUGCAGGCGUCCUGACCCACCUCUGCCCUGCUCUUCAAGUAUUCACUUUCUGAGGAGAGAAGAAAAAAAAAAAAGGCAUUUCCCAAACGGCUGCCCAGGGAACCCCAGGUUCCAAUGAGGCUCUGACUGCUGCAGGAGGAACCUGUCCAAACACGCCACAGGGGGCACCUGAGUGGGGCGAGGCGGGGGCAGAGGAGGGAGGGCAACUUACCUAUGACACGGGGCACAGACAAGAGAGGGUCCUCGCGGAGGAAAUAAACCUGAAAAACACCGUUAGUGUUCCUGUAUGAAGUGCCAACCACUUCUGCCGAGGCGACUCUACCUCCAAACUAAGAGACACUUCACUGCGCAGUAAAGUGCAUCCCAGCUCUGCCUUCAUCUGCAACGAUUCUCUCAACUUCCACGUAAGUCACUCAGUUAAACUACGCACUCUUCUCACUCAGAAAACUAAAGUGGAAGUCUUCAUCGUGCAGACUGUGCACCCGGCCUCCUCUCACGGUGCUGGAAACCAGUGUGUGUUCAGUAACCAGCACAAACCACCCUUCGGGCUCCCUCUUCCUUCUCCAAAUUGUUGGUCUAUCUGAUGUCUAAUUUCCCUCUGCAUUUUUGCAAUUUAAUACGAGGGCACAUCUGUGGUUCAAGUGUUUCAGUGCCGUGCCGAUGCGGACUGUUCUAGGUUUUGUAGUGUAUCCUAACAGCGUUCAUAAAUCAAUGUAUGUGUACGCUCUCAUUUGCCAAUUAACGGCUAAUCGUUAAUACUGAACACGGUAGAAUAAACCCCAACUAACAGCAGAGGGUGGGGGAACAAAUAACUGGCAGAUCUGUAAACUGCAGGUCACAGUCCGAAGAACGUAAGACAACACUGGUGUUUAAUAUGUCCUACAAGGAGGAGAGGCUUUCAGUCUUUAUCGAGGGAAAAAGUCAUCUCAGGAACACCACUGCUUGGAAAGCCGAGGCUGCCUUUCGGUCUCUUAAAUCUCUAGGGAACUAGAACAUCAAAGAAGUGGUACAAAGGCCCAAUAAAACACUGCUGAAUCUGACAGAAAUAUCCUAACGUAUAUACAAGGGUCAACCAGAGAAAUGUUGUCUCUGUGCAUAACCUGUUUCUUAAAGAUUCUGGAACAAAGGCUCCAUUCACUGUCCUCAGUAUGCACGACUUGCUUUCCGUCAACCCAACGUCUAAAGGGAGAGACGAGCUGGUCCCAGCUUGAAGGCCCCUCUCGGGAGCCUGAGCCGCCCUUCCAUCUCGCCAGGCCCGUCAGCGUCAUCACGUGGGCGAAGAACCGCGGAACCACGGUCCUCAGCCUGGGCCCUGGCCGGGAUGAGCCCUCUGUCCUUCACGAAUCCCAGAUGGCUAAAGCGCAGGCACCCAAGGCUGGCUGCUGCCACCCCGCCCAGCGAGCCUGUCAGUGUGGCGGUGAAGUAACGGGAAGAUGAUACCCGCUCGGGUCCGCAGUCACCACGCGCUCCCCACUCCAAAGCGCCUGUGGCCGAGCGAGGGCUGGGCGUGCAGGUGCCUCACACCCACAGGGUUUUGUGGUAAAGGGUCCUACGGCACCGAGACUAAUUUUGUCCACUGCGCAUUCUGGAGUCAUCUCACUCACCACCUCAAAGCCGGGCGCGGUACGGGGCAGUCGGUCUGGCGUCUGCCACACAACAGGUCUCGGAUCAGAGCCAACCACGCCACUUCUAACUUAACGCACAGGGCCUGGGGCCACCAAGCGGUUCCACGAGUAUCUGGGGCAGGGCUAACGUCACUUCUGAGACUCCGCAGGGGCCACUGCGUGUGACGUGCUCAGCAGAGCCUGGCCUAUGCCGGGCAUGUAGCAGAGGCCCACGAUACGGAGCAGGGCCUGUCCCAUGGGGGGUCCCCCUCCCCCUCUCCUGGGUCCCCGCACGCUAUACUGUCACCGUGUCAUCCUGAGCCCUUCUAUGGAACGUGUGCUCACCUGUGUGCAGGGACUCCGGGCUGGGCCACUGCAGCUCCUGGCGCACACAGGAGGAGGGAAGUUUUAAACACCUCUGGAUGAAUGCUCCCUGGUGCCUGGCCUCCGUCCUCUAACAAGGGCAGGCACCCCAGUUCUCCCGUCAGAUCUGAGCUGUACGUGAGGCAUCAGUGACACAUGCACACAGACCCCACCCCGCGCUGCACAGCCUCAGCCUCUGGGCUGCAGGGGAGACCUCCUGAGGGAUAGGCUUUCUGGACACAGUAAACUUCUCAAGGAAAGCUGCUGCCCCCGAGUCUCAACCCGCAUCCAGGGGCACCGCCGGCAGCAAGCUGCACUUGGCGAUGGCGCAGAAGGUAUGACAUAAUCUGAGGUCCCUGGGCUCUGACGACUGAGAAGCUUAUGAAGAGAAGCCGCACUUGGCGAUGGCGCAGGAGGUGUGACGUAACUUGAGGUCCCUGGGCUCUGACGACUGAGAAGCUUAUGAAGAGAAGCCGCACUUGGCGAUGGCGCAGAAGGGUGUGACGUAACCUGAGGUCCCUGGGCUCUGACGACUGAGAAGCCAGUGAGAGCCCAGAAGAGAGAGCCCACUCAAGGCCCUGGCAGCCAGGUAGGAGGGUAUUUCUAUAGUGCUCUGUGCUCUUUGGAAUAAAGGAAUCGCUGGCUUGAAUGAAUUUCUACCUUCCAUGUAAGCAAAGCUUUGCCAGAGGAAUUAGCUUAAGUGUCUCUCAUGUAAGCCAAGACUGCCAGUUUAUCUGCAUAAAAUAAUAACAGUAAUAAUAAUAAAAGUAAUGGCAGCAGCGGGCGUUAUCACCUGCAGAGUGUACAACAUGUGUCAGGGGCUGUUACAAGCACUCACAGAAAGUAUUCAACCUUCACAAACACACCACCUGCGGGAGGUGUUAAAAACCCAUUCUACUGAUGAGAAAACUCAUCAGACACAGGAGGCUGAGGCCCUGUCCGAGGUCACACACCUGCAGUGGGCGGGCCUAGCUUGGAUGCAGGCUCCAGCACCCACCCCACUGCUCCUAAGCCGUCCUCAGGGCCCACAGCCGACGGGAGGACACUUGGGGGAGGCCCAGUGCGGUCCUUCCUCCGGCCAGUCUGACCGCGAGCUUCUGAGCUCUGCCCACACGACAGCGAAGGAGUAGCAGGUUUUAUAACACUUGAAACAGACCCCCUUUCUCUUCAAAGAAAUCUCGAAAGAUAAGCUCUCAGAUACCAGUCAGAGUGACUACCUCUGCAAAACGUCUUUGGAAGUAACAAUAAACAGCUCAAAAUGAAAUUAAAAUUUCGAGUAGAGAACGUUAAGUAACCCCAUCCAAAUUACGGAAGAUGACUGUUGGUCUAGUACUAAUGACAUCUGACAUUAGUAAAGCACAGCCAAGGGUCAGAAACAGUUCUAAGACCCAAGGGCGUAAAUGAAGAACACAAACAGUGUGGCGCUUCUGGAGGACUGUGGACUCGACAAGACCCAGCAGGGACCAAAGCGUCAGCAUACUGCAUGUGCCUAAGCAUCUGUUAGCACUGUCCUUGGUCCAAAUGUCACUAGUCUCCGGGGGUGAUGAACUCUAUGGGUCACCCAGGCCAUGCUGGUGGCCUCUCCACCCCUCCUCCCCUCCCAGCAGCUCCCAGAGAGUCCCCAGUCAAGAGGGGGUGGGGGCUUCCCUGGUGGCGCAGUGGUUGGGAGUCUGCCUGCCGAU